GACGAACGCUGGCGGCAUGCCUAACACAUGCAAGUCGAGCGAGCAGAUCCCUUCGGGGUGAAGCUAGCGGCGGACGGGUGAGUAACACGUGGGCAACCUGCCUCAUAGAGGGGAAUAGCCUUCCGAAAGGAAGAUUAAUACCGCAUAAGAUUGUAGCUUCGCAUGGAGCAGCAAUGAAAGGAGCAAUCCGCUAUGAGAUGGGCCCGCGGCGCAUUAGCUAGUUGGUGAGGUAACGGCUCACAAAGGCGACGAGGCGUAGCCGACCUGAGAGGGUGAUCGGCCACAUUGGGACUGAGACACGGCCCAGACUCCUACGGGAGGCAGCAGUGGGGAAUAUUGCACAAUGGGGGAAACCCUGAUGCAGCAAUGCCGCGUGAGUGAUGACGGCCUUCGGGUUGUAAAGCUCUGUCUUCGGGGACGAUAAUGACGGUACCCGAGGAGGAAGCCACGGCUAACUACGUGCCAGCCGCCGCGGUAA
RNAcentral lists this ribosomal RNA (478 nucleotides) under uncultured bacterium. RNAcentral's name for it is "partial 16S ribosomal RNA". It matches the Rfam family "Bacterial small subunit ribosomal RNA", at positions 28 to 523 of the family's 1533-position model. The record is from RNAcentral.